AUUUGCAGCAACAUGGAUGGACCUAGAGAUUAUCAUACUAAAGUGAACUCCUCCCUCUGAACUUUGUGUGAGCCACGGGCUAGGCUGGACUUUGGUGUCUGCCUUUCAGAUGGUUGGUGCCAUAAGAGGGCCACGUGUGUGCAGGAAGAAGCAAAAGGCAGCUUAGUGAAUUGGAGACAACUGGAGGUGGUUUAUAAGGAUGGAGUGCAAAGAGCCAGUGGCACUUAGUGGCCCAAUGGGUUACAUGCAGUUAUUAAGGUAAGCAAAGCCUCACCCAUUGCUUGUGGUCAGACAUGUGAUUUUAAUUAUGGG
Aethalodelphis obliquidens (Pacific white-sided dolphin) is the source of this 312-nucleotide long non-coding RNA. RefSeq lists it as uncharacterized. The record is from RefSeq and is a predicted model, not a curated record. NCBI's taxonomy places the organism in Eukaryota, Metazoa, Chordata, Mammalia, Artiodactyla, Delphinidae. The transcript is spliced from 4 exons.